RNAcentral lists this ribosomal RNA (429 nucleotides) under Pseudomonadota bacterium. RNAcentral's name for it is "Proteobacteria bacterium partial 16S ribosomal RNA". It matches the Rfam family "Bacterial small subunit ribosomal RNA", at positions 355 to 776 of the family's 1533-position model. The record is from RNAcentral. Lineage: Bacteria; Pseudomonadati; Pseudomonadota.
UGGGGAAUAUUGGACAACGGGGGGAACCCUGAUCCAGCCAUGCCGCGUGAGUGAAGAAGGCCUUAUGGUUGUAAAGCACUUUAAGCGAGGAGGAGGGUACUGGUAUUAAUACUACCAGGUACUGGACGCUACCCGCAGAAUAAGCACUGGCUAACUCUGUGCCAGCAGCCGCGGUAGUAAGAGGGGACCAGCGUUAAUCGGAAUUACUGGGCGUAAAGCGAGGGUAGGGGACUAAUUGAGUCGGGUGUGAAAUCCCCGGGCGUAGCUUGGGAAUUGCAUUCGAUACUAGUUAGCUAGAGUGUGUGAGAGGAUGGUAGAAGUGCAGGUGUAGCGGUGAAAUACGUAGAGAGCUGGAGGAAUACCGAUGGCGAAGGCAGCCAUCUGGCCUAACACUGACGCUGAGGUACGAAAGCAUGGGGAGCAAACAGG